AGCCUUGAAGUGUUGUUUACACGUCAGAUUGCAAACCUGAAAAUGCAGAGUAACGACUGCCUGGGCUU
RNAcentral lists this transfer RNA (68 nucleotides) under Pentapodus setosus (butterfly whiptail). RNAcentral's name for it is "tRNA-Cys". The record is from RNAcentral. Lineage: Eukaryota; Metazoa; Chordata; Actinopteri; Spariformes; Nemipteridae.